AUUCUGCUGACGAGUCCCAAAUAGAACGAAACAAGCGUCCGGAGU
Schistosoma haematobium is the source of this 45-nucleotide non-coding RNA. The record is from Rfam. Lineage: Eukaryota; Metazoa; Platyhelminthes; Trematoda; Strigeidida; Schistosomatidae.